Molecule: long non-coding RNA, 893 nt
Organism: Gadus morhua (Atlantic cod)
Lineage: Eukaryota; Metazoa; Chordata; Actinopteri; Gadiformes; Gadidae
Exons: 3
Source: RefSeq, a predicted model, not a curated record
GGCCUACGAGACCAAGGGCCAGCGCAGUGAGGAGGCGCAGAGGGGUCACGACCCCCUCAUGUCAGCCCUGGACAACCUCAACAGAGUCCAGCAGCUGGAGAUCAUACAUGGAUACAACGACAUGAAGACGGAGCUGAAAGACUUCCUCCAGAGCUUUGCAGCGGAGGGAAAGGUGGUGACGCCCGACGACAUCAGACGGUUCUUUGAACAGCAGCAGAGCAGGAAGAGGCGGCGGGCGGACGGGCAGAUGUUCUGAUCUCAGAUCAGUUCUGACGCCGCCGGUUUUUACCCGGACUGUAGUACUGUGCUCAAGUUCUAUAGUACCUUAGUUCAUGUGUAACAGUGCACCCUAUAUUAAAAGUCGGUAAAUAUAGAAUAUUGUAUCUUUUAUUUUUUAGGGCUAUCACACACCCCCAUCCCAGCAGAACGUACAAGACGCAACACCUUAAAGUUGUUUAUUCGUAAUUUCAGGAUCUUAUAUUUUCAAUAUUCGCACACAGGUAGGAUAUCACACAACAUUUCGCCAAUAGUGGUACAUAGUGCACUCUACCAUUAUAGGAGGUAGAUGUGAAUGUACAACAGUACACCCUACCCCUACAGUGGUACAUGUGCUAUAGCACUGGUCUACUCGGUAGGCUGCAAUGUACCACAAUACAUCCUACCUUCAAACUAGGUAGAUUUGUUAUAUGAACUAUUGUACACCCUACCUUUGUACUAGGUAUAUGUGAUAAAUGUUCUAUUGUAUCCUAUCUUUAUACUAGGUAGAACAUCUGCGGUUUUGUGUAAAUAACGCUUUAAUCAUUGAUUGUAUUUUAAAAAUGGUUCUUCAUUGGCAUAUUGAUAAACGUGUUUAUUAAAGUGUCAACCCUGGUUUGCUGCCGUUUGAAGGAGAA